GGAAGCGUGCCUGAAGACUAAAGGGCCACUUUGAUAGAGUGGAAUAUGGUGGUUAAAACCCUCCCGCUUCCU
This 72-nucleotide transfer RNA is filed under the name Gymnothorax buroensis. RNAcentral describes it as "tRNA-Ile". It matches the Rfam family "tRNA". From Rfam's summary of the family: Transfer RNA (tRNA) molecules are approximately 80 nucleotides in length. Their secondary structure includes four short double-helical elements and three loops (D, anti-codon, and T loops). Further hydrogen bonds mediate the characteristic L-shaped molecular structure. tRNAs have two regions of fundamental functional importance: the anti-codon, which is responsible for specific mRNA codon recognition, and the 3' end, to which the tRNAs corresponding amino acid is attached (by aminoacyl-tRNA synthetases). tRNAs cope with the degeneracy of the genetic code in two manners: having more than one tRNA (with a specific anti-codon) for a particular amino acid; and 'wobble' base-pairing, i.e. permitting non-standard base-pairing at the 3rd anti-codon position. Lineage: Eukaryota; Metazoa; Chordata; Actinopteri; Anguilliformes; Muraenidae. The record is from RNAcentral.